ACCCAGCUAGCUCAGGUGGUAGAGCAUAAGACUCUUAAUCUCAGGGUCUAGGGUUCAAGCCCCAAUUUAGGCA
This 73-nucleotide transfer RNA is filed under the name Cricetulus griseus (Chinese hamster). It matches the Rfam family "tRNA". Rfam says of the family: Transfer RNA (tRNA) molecules are approximately 80 nucleotides in length. Their secondary structure includes four short double-helical elements and three loops (D, anti-codon, and T loops). Further hydrogen bonds mediate the characteristic L-shaped molecular structure. tRNAs have two regions of fundamental functional importance: the anti-codon, which is responsible for specific mRNA codon recognition, and the 3' end, to which the tRNAs corresponding amino acid is attached (by aminoacyl-tRNA synthetases). tRNAs cope with the degeneracy of the genetic code in two manners: having more than one tRNA (with a specific anti-codon) for a particular amino acid; and 'wobble' base-pairing, i.e. permitting non-standard base-pairing at the 3rd anti-codon position. The record is from Rfam by way of RNAcentral. Lineage: Eukaryota; Metazoa; Chordata; Mammalia; Rodentia; Cricetidae.